Molecule: ribosomal RNA, 431 nt
Filed under: uncultured bacterium
Lineage: Bacteria
Description: partial 16S ribosomal RNA
Rfam family: Bacterial small subunit ribosomal RNA
Source: RNAcentral
AACGAACGCUGGCGGCAGGCUUAACACAUGCAAGUCGAGCGCCCCGCAAGGGGAGCGGCAGACGGGUGAGUAACGCGUGGGAACGUACCUUUUGGUUCGGAACAACUCCGGGAAACUGGAGCUACUACCGGAUAAGCCCUAACGGGGAAAGAUUUAUCGCCGAAAGAUCGGCCCGCGUCUGAUUAGCUAGUUGGUGAGGUAACGGCUCACCAAGGCGACGAUCAGUAGCUGGUCUGAGAGGAUGAUCAGCCACACUGGGACUGAGACACGGCCCAGACUCCUACGGGAGGCAGCAGUGGGGAAUAUUGGACAAUGGGCGCAAGCCUGAUCCAGCCAUGCCGCGUGAGUGAUGAAGGCCUUAGGGUUGUAAAGCUCUGUUGUCCGGGAAGAUAAUGACUGUACCGGAAGAAUAAGCCCCGGCUAACUUCGUG